RNAcentral lists this ribosomal RNA (458 nucleotides) under Stenotrophomonas rhizophila. Its description in RNAcentral is "bacterial SSU rRNA". It matches the Rfam family "Bacterial small subunit ribosomal RNA", at positions 129 to 581 of the family's 1533-position model. The record is from RNAcentral. Lineage: Bacteria; Pseudomonadati; Pseudomonadota; Gammaproteobacteria; Lysobacterales; Lysobacteraceae.
CCUUUUCAUUGGGUUAUAACGUAGGGGAACUUACGCUAAUACCCCAUACGACCUUCGGGUGAGAGCUUCGGACCUUCGGCUCUUGCACGAAUCUAUGAGCCAAUGUCUGAUUAGCUAGUUGGCGGGGUAAAGGCCCACCAAUGCGACGAUCCGUAGCUGGUCUGAUAGGAUGAUCUGCCACUCUGAAACUGACACAAGGCCCACACUCCGACGCGAUGGAGCAUUUUGGAAUAUUGGACAAUGGCUGAUAGCCUGAUCCAGCCUUACCGCGUGGGUUAAUAAGGUCUUCGGGUUGUAUAGCCCUUUUGUUGGGAAAGAAAAGCAGUCGAUUAAUACUCGGUUGUUCUGACCGUACCCAAAGAAUAAGCACCGGCUAACUUCAUGCCCGCAGCCGCGGUAAUACGAAAGGUGCAAGCGUUACUCUGAAUUACUAGGCCUAGAGCGUGCGUAUGUGGUUG